CAGCAGUAGCCACGGUAAUACAGAGGGUGCGAGCGUUAAUCGGAUUUACUGGGCGUAAAGCGUGCGUAGGCGGCUAAUUGAGUCGGAUGUGAAAUCCCCGAGCUUAACUUGGGAAUUGCAUUCGAUACUGGUUAGCUAGAGUGUGGGAGAGGAUGGUAGAAUUCCAGGUGUAGCGGUGAAAUGCGUAGAGAUCUGGAGGAAUACCGAUGGCGAAGGCAGCCAUCUGGCCUAACACUGACGCUGAGGUACGAAAGCAUGUGGAGCAAACAGGAUUAGAUACCCCCGUAGUCCCUGUCUCUUAUAC
Molecule: ribosomal RNA, 304 nt
Filed under: uncultured bacterium
Lineage: Bacteria
Description: partial 16S ribosomal RNA
Rfam family: Bacterial small subunit ribosomal RNA
Source: RNAcentral